UACGUAGGGACCAAGCGUUUUUCGGAUUUACUGGGCGUAAAGGGCGCGUAGGCGGCGUGGUAAGUCAGCUGUGAAAUCUCCGAGCUUAACUCGGAACGGUCAGCUGAUACUGCUGUGCUAGAGUACAGAAAGGGCAAUCGGAAUUCUUGGUGUAGCGGUGAAAUGCGUAGAUAUCAAGAGGAACACCUGAGGCGAAGGCGGGUUGCUAGGCUGAUACUGACGCUGAGGCGCGAAAGCUAGGGUAGCAAACGGG
Molecule: ribosomal RNA, 253 nt
Filed under: uncultured bacterium
Lineage: Bacteria
Description: partial 16S ribosomal RNA
Rfam family: Bacterial small subunit ribosomal RNA
Source: RNAcentral